Molecule: ribosomal RNA, 471 nt
Filed under: uncultured organism
Description: partial 16S ribosomal RNA
Rfam family: Bacterial small subunit ribosomal RNA
Source: RNAcentral
CACUCCUGCGGGAGGCAGCAGUGGGGAAUUUUGGACAAUGGGCGAAAGCCUGAUCCAGCAAUGCCGCGUGAGUGAAGAAGGCCUUCGGGUUGUAAAGCUCUUUUGUCAGGGAAGAAACGGUGAGAGCUAAUAUCUCUUGCUAAUGACGGUACCUGAAGAAUAAGCACCGGCUAACUACGUGCCAGCAGCCGCGGUAAUACGUAGGGUGCAAGCGUUAAUCGGAAUUACUGGGCGUAAAGCGUGCGCAGGCGGUUUUGUAAGUCUGAUGUGAAAUCCCCGGGCUCAACCUGGGAAUUGCAUUGGAGACUGCAAGGCUAGAAUCUGGCAGAGGGGGGUAGGAUUCCACGUGUAGCAGUGAAAUGCGUAGAUAUGUGGAGGAACACCGAUGGCGAAGGCAGCCCCCUGGGUCAAGAUUGACGCUCAUGCACGAAAGCGGGGGGAGCAAACAGGAUUAGAAACCCGAGUAGUCCC